UAACUGAACAUGCAAAUGUUCGCUAUCAGCAGUCAGUCGAAGCCAUUUAGUACUAGAUAAUUUUGGAAUAUCUAGGAAGGGC
Non-coding RNA from Virgibacillus sp., 82 nucleotides. The record is from Rfam. NCBI's taxonomy places the organism in Bacteria, Bacillati, Bacillota, Bacilli, Caryophanales, Bacillaceae.